RNAcentral lists this ribosomal RNA (453 nucleotides) under uncultured bacterium. Its description in RNAcentral is "bacterial SSU rRNA". It matches the Rfam family "Bacterial small subunit ribosomal RNA", at positions 40 to 507 of the family's 1533-position model. The record is from RNAcentral.
CGGCGUGCUUAACACAUGCAAGUCGAACGAUGAAGCCGCUUCGGUGGUGGAUUAGUGGCGAACGGGUGAGUAACACGUGGGCAAUCUGCCCUGCACUCUGGGACAAGCCCUGGAAACGGGGUCUAAUACCGGAUAUGACACGGGAUCGCAUGGUCUCCGUGUGGAAAGCUCCGGCGGUGCAGGAUGAGCCCGCGGCCUAUCAGCUUGUUGGUGGGGUGAUGGCCUACCAAGGCGACGACGGGUAGCCGGCCUGAGAGGGCGACCGGCCACACUGGGACUGAGACACGGCCCAGACUCCUACGGGAGGCAGCAGUGGGGAAUAUUGCACAAUGGGCGCAAGCCUGAUGCAGCGACGCCGCGUGAGGGAUGACGGCCUUCGGGUUGUAAACCUCUUUCAGCAGGGAAGAAGCGCGAGUGACGGUACCUGCAGAAGAAGCACCGGCUAACUACGUG